RNAcentral lists this ribosomal RNA (458 nucleotides) under uncultured bacterium. Its description in RNAcentral is "partial 16S ribosomal RNA". It matches the Rfam family "Bacterial small subunit ribosomal RNA", at positions 338 to 795 of the family's 1533-position model. The record is from RNAcentral.
CCUACGGGAGGCAGCAGUGAGGAAUAUUGGUCAAUGGGCGAGAGCCUGAACCAGCCAAGUCGCGUGAGGGAGUACUGCCCUAUGGGUUGUAAACCUCUUUUGUCGGGGAGCAAAAGCCGGACGUGUCCGGCUGUGAGAGUACCCGCAGAAAAAGCAUCGGCUAACUCCGUGCCAGCAGCCGCGGUAAUACGGAGGAUGCGAGCGUUAUCCGGAUUUAUUGGGUUUAAAGGGUGCGCAGGCGGAUUUUUAAGUCAGCGGUAAAAUCGUGGGGCUCAACCCCAUCCAGCCGUUGAAACUGGGGAUCUAGAGUGUGCGAGAGGUAUGCGGAAUGCGUGGUGUAGCGGUGAAAUGCAUAGAUAUCACGCAGAACCCCGAUUGCGAAGGCAGCAUACCGGUGCACAACUGACGCUCAGGCACGAAAGCGUGGGUAUCGAACAGGAUUAGAUACCCCGGUAGUC